GGGGGAGGUUCAAUCAAUAGGGAUUUUGUUAAGUGGGCCAGGGCAGAAGAGAUCUUUCAAACAUCGGCGACUGGUGUGACUCCGUGCUCCAAGACUCAUGGGAGUAGAUAUAUCUUCACUGAUUUCCAGAAGACCAUCAUUUGACAAAGCUUUGCUUUUUUGUUGCUGGUUAGAGGUCCAAAAUCACAGGCAGACAAUGGAGCAAAAUGUCAAAUGAGGCAAAGUUGAUCAGGAGAUAGAGGAUGUAUCAGCUUGUCUCUUCAUGGACCAUUUCACGUAG
Molecule: long non-coding RNA, 280 nt
Organism: Myxocyprinus asiaticus (Chinese sucker)
Lineage: Eukaryota; Metazoa; Chordata; Actinopteri; Cypriniformes; Catostomidae
Exons: 3
Source: RefSeq, a predicted model, not a curated record